UACGUAGGGUGCGAGCGUUAAUCGGAUUUACUGGGCGUAAAGAGCGCGCAGGCGGUCGAUCAAGUCGCGUGUGAAAGCCCCCGGCUCAACUGGGGAGGGUCACGCGAUACUGAUCGACUCGAAGGCAGGAGAGGGUAGUGGAAUUCCCGGUGUAGUGGUGAAAUGCGUAGAUAUCUGGAGGAAUACCGGUGGCGAAGGCGGCAUCCUGGACCGACAUUGACGCUGAGGAGCGAAAGCUAGGGGAGCAAACGGG
Molecule: ribosomal RNA, 253 nt
Filed under: uncultured bacterium
Lineage: Bacteria
Description: partial 16S ribosomal RNA
Rfam family: Bacterial small subunit ribosomal RNA
Source: RNAcentral